ACGUAGGGAGCAAGCGUUGUUCGGAUUUACUGGGCGUAAAGGGCGCGUAGGCGGCAAAUCAAGUCAGCUGUGAAAUCUCUGAGCUUAACUCAGAACGGUCAGCUGAUACUGCUUUGCUAGAGUGCGGAAGGGGCAAUCGGAAUUCUUGGUGUAGCGGUGAAAUGCGCAGAUAUCAGGAAGAACACCUAUGGCGAAGGCAGCUCUCUGGGACGGUACUGACGCUGAGACGCGAAAGCGUGGGGAGCGAACAGGA
RNAcentral lists this ribosomal RNA (253 nucleotides) under uncultured prokaryote. RNAcentral's name for it is "partial 16S ribosomal RNA". It matches the Rfam family "Bacterial small subunit ribosomal RNA", at positions 525 to 777 of the family's 1533-position model. The record is from RNAcentral.